GAUGAACGCUGGCGGCGUGCCUAAUACAUGCAAGUCGAGCGAACAGACGAGAGUGCUUGCACUCUCUGACGUUAGCGGCGGACGGGUGAGUAACACGUGGGUAACCUACCUAUAAGACUGGGAUAACUUCGGGAAACCGGAGCUAAUACCGGAUAAUAUUUAGCUUCGCAUGAAGCAAUAGUGAAAGACGGUUCUGCUGUCACUUAUAGAUGGACCCGCGGUGUAUUAGCUAGUUGGUGAGGUAACGGCUCACCAAGGCAACGAUACAUAGCCGACCUGAGAGGGUGAUCGGCCACACUGGGACUGAGACACGGCCCAGACUCCUACGGGAGGCAGCAGUAGGGAAUCUUCCGCAAUGGACGAAAGUCUGACGGAGCAAUGCCGCGUGAGUGAAGAAGGUUUUCGGAUCGUAAAACUCUGUUGUAAGGGAAGAACAAGUACGUUAGUAACUGAACGUACCUUGACGGUACCUUACCAGAAAGCCACGGCUAACUACGU
Molecule: ribosomal RNA, 498 nt
Filed under: uncultured bacterium
Lineage: Bacteria
Description: partial 16S ribosomal RNA
Rfam family: Bacterial small subunit ribosomal RNA
Source: RNAcentral